GAUGAACGCUGGCGGCGUGCCUAACACAUGCAAGUCGAGCGGGAUCUUGCUAAAUGACGCUUCGGUUGAUUUUAGCAAGUGAGAGCGGCGGACGGGUGAGUAACGCGUAGGCAACCUGCCCUUUGCAGAGGGAUAGCCAUUGGAAACGAUGAUUAAAACCUCAUAAUGCCAGACUGAGACAUCUCUAACUGGCCAAAGAUUUAUCGGCAAAGGAUGGGCCUGCGUCUGAUUAGCUAGUUGGUGGGGUAACGGCCUACCAAGGCGACGAUCAGUAGCCGACCUGAGAGGGUGAUCGGCCGCAUUGGAACUGAGACACGGUCCAA
Molecule: ribosomal RNA, 323 nt
Filed under: uncultured bacterium
Lineage: Bacteria
Description: bacterial SSU rRNA
Rfam family: Bacterial small subunit ribosomal RNA
Source: RNAcentral